RNAcentral lists this ribosomal RNA (253 nucleotides) under uncultured bacterium. RNAcentral's name for it is "partial 16S ribosomal RNA". It matches the Rfam family "Bacterial small subunit ribosomal RNA", at positions 524 to 776 of the family's 1533-position model. The record is from RNAcentral.
UACGUAGGGGGCAAGCGUUGUCCGGAUUUAUUGGGCGUAAAGAGCGUGUAGGCGGUCAGGUAGGUCGGUUGUGAAAACUGGAGGCUCAACCUUCAGAGGUCGACCGAAACCCCCUGGCUAGAGUCCGGGAGAGGAGAGUGGAGUUCCUGGUGUAGCGGUGAAAUGCGCAGAUAUCAGGAAGAACACCCGUGGCGAAAGCGGCUCUCUGGAACGGUACUGACGCUGAGACGCGAAAGCGUGGGGAGCGAACAGG